UUUGGGCAGGAAAAGUGAAAGCAGGCAUUCUUACGCGUAUUACUGCCAGGCAGAGAAAAAAACUUCAGUAUGUCGUUUUAACAAGGACAUUAUAAAUGAUUUCGUUACAACAUGUGUUCUACAGCGAGUUUUGAAAUGAAUGUGAAGACUGCUCAUGGAGAACACGAGUGGCUACAAAAGCACCCAGUGAUAUAAAUGUAGAAGAUAUCAGCAAGUCCUGCCAUUUAAAAGUUCAUAUGCAGAAGCACAACGGAAAAAACUGACCAACAGACGCCCAGCAUUGCAGCUAGAGCCGUGGUGGAGGACGACUCCCAAUCCUCUGUCCUGUCCAAGACUCUUAAGAUCCAAGAUGAAUGAUGCUUCUGUUUUAAACAGCACUCCUCUACAGACACCCAGCAUUGCAGCUAGAGCCGUGGUGGAGGACGACUCCCAAUCCUCUAUCCUGUCCAAGACUCAGAUGGAUGAUGCUUCUGUUUCAAACAGCACUCCUCAACAGAAUGGACAAACAGUGCAAAGGUAAAACUGCCCAUAAGAAGAAAACACCUUGGCUGCAGACAGAGGUGCAGGCGGUGGAAUGGCACACGAAUCGCUUCAUCACAUCUUGUAUCGUACCAGCACAGCGAGACUGUGAGAAGUGUUUAAGGGCUGAACCAGAAGCUCCUAAGAACCGUGACUGGCAAAAUCUGAAAUUCUAUGUUUAUAAUCGUAUUACGGCCUACAAAAGAAAAUUGCAAUACAGAUAGUUUAAAGAUCA
Trichomycterus rosablanca is the source of this 754-nucleotide long non-coding RNA. RefSeq lists it as uncharacterized. The record is from RefSeq and is a predicted model, not a curated record. Lineage: Eukaryota; Metazoa; Chordata; Actinopteri; Siluriformes; Trichomycteridae. The transcript has 6 exons.